CCUACGGGAGGCUGCAGUGGGGAAUAUUGCACAAUGGGGGAAACCCUGAUGCAGCGACGCCGCGUGAGUGAAGAAGUAUUUCGGUACGUAAAGCUCUAUCAGCAGGGAAGAAAAUGACGGUACCUGACUAAGAAGCCCCGGCUAACUACGUGCCAGCAGCCGCGGUAAUACGUAGGGGGCAAGCGUUAUCCGGAUUUACUGGGUGUAAAGGGAGCGUAGACGGCAGCGCAAGUCUGGAGUGAAAUCCCAUGGCUUAACCAUGGAACUGCUUUUGAAACUGUGCAGCUAGAGUGCAGGAGAGGUAAGCGGAAUUCCUAGGGUAGCGGUGAAAUGCGUAGAUAUUAGGAGGAACACCAGUGGCGAAGGCGGCUUACUGGACUGUAACUGACGUUGAGGCUCGAAAGCGUGGGGAGCAAACAGGAUUAGAUACCCCGGUAGUC
RNAcentral lists this ribosomal RNA (440 nucleotides) under uncultured bacterium. RNAcentral's name for it is "partial 16S ribosomal RNA". It matches the Rfam family "Bacterial small subunit ribosomal RNA", at positions 338 to 795 of the family's 1533-position model. The record is from RNAcentral.